RNAcentral lists this long non-coding RNA (769 nucleotides) under Equus asinus (donkey). Its description in RNAcentral is "lncRNA (ENSEASG00005033769.1)". The record is from RNAcentral. Lineage: Eukaryota; Metazoa; Chordata; Mammalia; Perissodactyla; Equidae.
AUUGCAAAGCACUGGGAUAAUGCCACAGGCCUUCAAAGGGAGUUAAUUUUAAUUGAUCAACUUGUGGUCCUGGAAUCCAAAUGAGCCCUCUUCUCGUUCCCCGUGAACAUUUCCACGUCCUGUCUCGGAGCGGGGAACCCUAAUUCUAGGUCAGCCCAAGAAUGUAGGAGAGAGAGCUUCACAGGAUGCUACUCAGGAAGUAACCUUGGAAGCAAAGCUAAUUCCAUUCUAAUCUGUGCUCUUGAAAUGUGAAGAUCAUAAGAAAUGAGUGAUUGAGAAGAUUCUGGAGAGCCUUGCUUGUUCCAGAUGGCUUCUGCUCCAAAAGAAGAAGCUUUUCAAGUGUCCCACGCAGUCCUGAACCCUUUGGGGCCUUCUCCUUUCACUGUGCCUCAAGCCCAAUAGAAGAAAAUCUCAUCCCAGCAGGGAAGGGAGGGUGAGGCGGAUGUGGGGGGUGUUUCAAGCAAGGUGAUUUUCUGGGUGAAAGUACUAUGUUCUUCCCAGCACUUAGCACAAAGCCUGCCACCCAGGUCAUGUGGGCGGAGAGACUUGUACUGCACCGAACAUCCUCACCUGUCAGCAGAGUAUCUGAUAGGGGUAGCAUUUACAGCACGUGCACUAAAAAUGCUAUUGUACCUUAUGCUUUACUUUAAUUACUCAAACCGGUGUUGUUUCCAGUGUUUUUUUCUCUCUCCUAAUGAACCUUCAACUGCUUGUACCUCCUUUCUCCCCCAUGGAAAAGUUGCAUAAUGAUGGCUUGUUUACAAACCUG